Molecule: ribosomal RNA, 393 nt
Filed under: uncultured bacterium
Lineage: Bacteria
Description: partial 16S ribosomal RNA
Rfam family: Bacterial small subunit ribosomal RNA
Source: RNAcentral
AUACGGAGGAUGCGAGCGUUAUCCGGAUUUAUUGGGUUUAAAGGGUGCGCAGGCGGGCGAUUAAGUCAGCGGUGAAAGGCUCGGGCUCAACCGGAGCAGUGCCGUUGAUACUGGUUGUCUUGAAUGCGGUCAAGGCCGGCGGAAUGUGGCGUGUAGCGGUGAAAUGCAUAGAUAUGCCACAGAACACCGAUAGCGAAGGCAGCUGGCCGGGCCUGCAUUGACGCUGAGGCACGAAAGCGUGGGGAUCGAACAGGAUUAGAUACCCUGGUAGUCCACGCUGUAAACGAUGGACACUCGUUGUCGGCGACAGACAGUCGGCGGCCAAGCGAAAGUGAUAAGUGUCCAACCUGGGGAGUACGGUCGCAAGGCUGAAACUCAAAUGAAUUGGCGGGG